AUUUAAGUAGCUUAUAGAGAGCAUAGUAUUGAAGAUACUAGGGAGAUAAUUAUCCUUAAAUA
Molecule: transfer RNA, 62 nt
Filed under: Hylurgus micklitzi
Lineage: Eukaryota; Metazoa; Arthropoda; Insecta; Coleoptera; Curculionidae
Description: tRNA-Phe
Source: RNAcentral